CCCAUCUCUGCAGAUUCCCCCGCCCCCAUCUCUGCAGAUUCCCCCGCCCCCAACUGCCCGCUACAGCUCUUUCCUUGUGCCUCACAGCAGCCGGUCCCACUUCCUGCAUCGCCACCAAUGUGGCCCAGGCCACCAGCCCCCGUGACACUGCAGCCAUCCCCUUUGCUCCCCGUCGUGGCCUCCCGACCGAGCAGCCAGAGUGACCCCGAAAGCCUAAAUCAGCCUGCGGCGCCCUCACCCGUCCUCCAGCUGCCAUCGCCUCCUGGGUGAAGAGGACGCAGGUCGCAGCCCCCGCAGCUCUGCCCCUCUGCCCUCCGGCCAGGCCGCCCCGCUGUCCCCCUUGCUGUCCACCUCUCUGUCCACCCCUGCUGUCCCCCCCCGCUGUCCCCCCCGCUGUCACACCCCCGCUGUCCCCCCCCCGCUGUCCCCCCUGUUGUCCCCCCGCUGUCCCUCCCGCUGUCCCUCCGGCGAGGAGGCUUCUGCACGUUCUGCGUGGGCCUCUCCCCGGGGCCGCCCCAGGUCUCCCCUGACGCCCACACCCACCACCAGGCUGUUGUGCGGGACCUUCCUUCUCUGCCUCUCCAGCUGGUGACGCGCACUGACGUCCUGCAAGGCCCGCUCCAGGUGCGCCACCUUUGACUGGCAUGCUGAAAGGACAAAGGGACGGAGGCAUUUUACCGGAGAGGACAUCCAUGGGGCCCAGCAGGUCAAAUUCCUUUCUCUAAGUAUGGGAGACAUUUUUAAAAAUAAUGGAGUCCUCCAGGGCCGGCUGCGUGCUGUGGCCUGUGCUCCUCACUGCUUUGGACCCAGGCUGCGCUGUCUCCACCACGACCAAGGACUCACAGAGCUCGCCUGGGGGACCUGGCCCCACAGUCACCCCGUCCGUCAUCAGCCUCAAAUGCCAUCAGCCCGUGAAUGCUGCUCCAUCGUCUGCAUGGCAGCCAAGGAGGUCUCUGCUCCUAAAGCACCUGGGAGCCCUUGGUGAGGGGGGAGUGGGGCAGGGAAGGAGAUGCUGGGGCCCAGCUCUGCUGCUGUGGAUUGUUACAGUGGCCUGGGCCUCUACUCCCGCCUCUGUCCUACCAGGAUGGUGCCAGGUGAUGUGGCGAUGAGUGGGCAUCGCGUGGGGGCCUUGGACGAGCGUGGACACCCCAAUCCCCAGACUGGCCAUUGCCGUGGAGGCAGCGUGAGUGUGACAUGGAGCUCGGUGUCGUGCUGCAGAGGACGCCUCGCGGCUGUACGCGUCAUGAUAGCCAGGGACCCCUCCACAUGUCACUUAGCCAAAGGAUGCAGCCCAGCCUGGGGCUUUCUACCCCAGGCCCGAGGACCUGCAGGGACAAGGACCCCUCAGCGCAGAUGCAGCUCUCAUGAGGCCUGAAACCAAGCUGGACUUGCAGAACUGCGCACGCUCCCUUUCUGAAAGAAACACCCGUUACCGGGUCCAGACUGAAUGUGGGCGUAAGAAAGCGGGAAGGGUCCCCCACAGCAAGAGAGAGACCCUCCCAGUCACUUGGUCAUCUGAGCCUUGAGUGUGUCCGGCCCCAGCCACCAGCCUGUCCCCACUAUCCCUCUUGUCAGCACGGCUGAAAGGAGCUGCCUGGGCACCUGAGGUGGCUGAGGCUCAUCUUUGAGGAGCAUGGAACUCGAGGGGAGAAGUCGCGCCCCCAGGGAAGCCAGGCCCUCCGACGGUGGCUCCGUGCCCUCAAAAGAAGGAUGAUCCCUUCCUGGUCCCGCCUGACCCGGGGGAGCUCGGCCCCUGCUGUGCUGUCAGCCUCGCCCCGGCCGCCCGCGCUGACCCCCGCCCGGCUCACAGCACCGCUGGCCGCAGCCUCUCACCGAGAGCUCCUGCCCUCAGCCUCCAGCCGGAGAAGGACUCCCCAUCCCAGCAGAGCUCAGCUCAGCGGGCACGCGCACGACGCAGAAAUCCUUGAUUUCUCAGGUUAGGCGACGGCUGAAUUAUAAACACGGGCCUCGCUGGACCACGGACCCGCCAGGUUCUCCCGCAACUUGCGGAGCUCCUGGACCGGCCCUUCCCAGAGGCGCAGCGCUGAGUCCCAGGAGCAGGACCUGAACCAGGAAGGGGAGGGGCGAGCACAGUCCUGCCUCCUCCUCCCCGCACAGUGCUGGGGGAAUGACCCCCACUGCCUUCUUCUCCUCCCCCAACACUGCAGGGGGAAUGACCCCCACUGCCUCCUCCUCCCAACACACUGCAGGGGGAAUGACCCCCACUGUCUUCUCCUCCCAACACACUGCAGGGGGAAUGACCCCCACUGUCUUCUCCUCCCAACACACUGCAGGGGGAAUGACCCCCACUGCCUCCUCCUCCCAACACACUGCAGGGGGAAUGACCCCCACUGUCUUCUCCUCCCCCCACACUGCAGGGGGAAUGACCCCCACUGUCUUCUCCUCCCCCCACACUGCAGGGGGAAUGACCCCCACUGUCUUCUCCUCCCCACACACUGCAGGGGGAAUGACCCCCACUGCCUCCUCCUCCCAACACACUGCAGGGGUAAUGACCCCCACUGCCUCCUCCUUCCCCACACACUGCAGGGGGAAUGACCCCCACUGCCUUCUCCUCCCCCAACACUGCAGGGGGAAUGACCCCCACUGCCUCCUGCUCCCCACACACACACUGCAGGGGGAGUGACCCCCAUAUUUUAAUGCAGUGGUUUCUCUGGUCACUCACGGUCCAGCACUAGCACGCAGCAGUCGGGGAAAUGCUGUGGGUAUGAGACGGCCUGGAUUUUGAAGGCGCUGCAUGAAAAAGAAUGUAGAGAAUCUGAAUGCAUUUUAUGUAUAGAUUGCAUGUUGAAAUGAUGCUGUUGGGAUAUAUUAG
Molecule: long non-coding RNA, 2833 nt
Filed under: Homo sapiens (human)
Lineage: Eukaryota; Metazoa; Chordata; Mammalia; Primates; Hominidae
Description: non-protein coding KIF25-AS1:1
Source: RNAcentral